AGCUUUUUGUAGGAAAAUAAAUUUCUGUGAAAGCAGAAUUAAAAAAUAAAGCAAGUUCAUGGGAUUGUGAUUGAUUAAAAUUACUAAAGGUCAUAGCAAGUUGUGUCACUGCUUGAAAGUGAUGACUAUGUAAAACUUUUCUCUGCAAGAUGCUGAGCUUCUCCUGAAAAUGCUGAGCACUUUUAGCUAAGAGUAAUCCUCUACUAGCUGGCAACCUUAAACUUUCCAACAGCAUCAGCAGCAUCAGUAGCCUGGAUCAGAUACUAUGCAAAAAGAAGAAGCCGGAGCAAGACGAACCAAAGUGAAAGCAUUUGCCAAGAAUGUUUUCAUUAAUCAAGAACGAAAGUCGGAGGUUCGAAGACAAUCAGAUACCGUCGUAGUUCCGACCAUAAAUGAUGCCGACUAGCGAUCCGGCGGUGUUAUUCCCAUGACCCGCUGGGCAGCUUCCGGGAAACCAAAGUCUUUGGGU
Molecule: non-coding RNA, 469 nt
Filed under: Alligator mississippiensis (American alligator)
Lineage: Eukaryota; Metazoa; Chordata; Crocodylia; Alligatoridae
Description: Eukaryotic small subunit ribosomal RNA
Rfam family: Eukaryotic small subunit ribosomal RNA
Source: Rfam by way of RNAcentral